This 1052-nucleotide unclassified non-coding RNA is filed under the name Gigantopelta aegis. Its description in RNAcentral is "rNA-binding protein lark-like, transcript variant X2". The record is from RNAcentral. Lineage: Eukaryota; Metazoa; Mollusca; Gastropoda; Neomphalida; Peltospiridae.
AAACACUUCCGUCAUAUUCGGAUGAGUUCCGAGUACAUCCGAAGUCAAAAUACCCCAAAAGAGGGCGCUGCUCUGUGAAGCCAUCGGUUGUUUUGUACAGAAAUUAUAUAAUCAUGUCGAGGAAAGUGUCGACAAAGGUUUUUAUUGGCAACAUGCCCGACACAUGUCGAAAGACAGACUUAGAGGAGAUGUUUUCUAAAUAUGGAGAAAUCGUCGAGUGUGACAUUGUCAAAAAUUUUGGCUUUGUGCAUUUUGCUGAUCCAACAUGUGCUAAAACAGCUGUCGACAAUUUGAAUGGCAUUCAGUUUCAAGGAACUGAUCUAAAGGUUGAGUUAUCUCAUAGCCGAGUAAGACAAAAACCUGGCAUGGGAGGACAGGGAGACUGUUAUAAAUGUGGCAAGAGUGGCCACUGGUCAAAGGAUUGUCCAUCUGGACCAACAAGACCCAGAUACCCUCCAAGGGAAAGUCCGUAUGCGCGACCUCGAGAUCCGUACGAUGACCCUUACUACAGAGACCGAUAUUUGCCACCGCCACCUCCGAUGGACCGAUACCGACCCUACCCAGACAUCUACGAUCGCAGGCCACCUCCUCCACCCAGAGAUCCGUAUUACAGAGACCGAGAUCCGUACACAAGACCUCCACCGGAUUAUUACAGGAGAUCACCACCUAGAGAUCCUUACUAUGAUGAUUACUACAGGAGACGAUUUGGGUAGUUCCUCACUGCUGAUGAAUGAGAGUCGAACUACCACAGUUCCUGGGAGUAGUAAAGCCACAGACGUGAAGACAUUUGCCGAGAGUCCUUGUUAAUGGGACUCCAUGCUGGUUACCUUCUAUGUACUGCAUCCAUUAUUCUCCAUUGAGACACUAGUACCUUACAUCUGCCAUUUCCUGGAAGACGUGUGUUCCUGAUUUUAAUGGUGCAACCUGCCUCCUGAGGAUUGAGUCUGGUACAUUGCCACCAUUCCACAGGCUUUCGUUCAUGAGACUGUGCAGUGCUGAAUUUUUAUAGCAAUGAAUGUCAUCUUCUUGUGUUAAUAAAUUUUCCACAUUAA